Molecule: ribosomal RNA, 113 nt
Filed under: uncultured bacterium
Lineage: Bacteria
Description: partial 16S ribosomal RNA
Rfam family: Bacterial small subunit ribosomal RNA
Source: RNAcentral
CUGCGGUGAAUACGUUCCCGGGUCUUGUACACACCGCCCGUCAAGCCAUGAAAAGUCGCCAACACCCGAAGUCCGGCGUUUGCCGGCCUAAGGUGGGGGAGAUGAUUGGGGUU